This 440-nucleotide ribosomal RNA is filed under the name uncultured bacterium. RNAcentral's name for it is "bacterial SSU rRNA". It matches the Rfam family "Bacterial small subunit ribosomal RNA", at positions 34 to 473 of the family's 1533-position model. The record is from RNAcentral.
GAAUUCACUAGUGAUUCAGGCCUAACACAUGCAAGUCGAGCGGGGUUUUCGGACCUAGCGGCGGACGGGUGAGUAAUGCGUAGGAAGCUACCCGAUAGAGGGGGAUACCAGUUGGAAACGACUGUUAAUACCGCAUAAUGUCUACGGACCAAAGUGUGGGACCUUCGGGCCACAUGCUAUCGGAUGCGCCUACGUGGGAUUAGCUAGUUGGUGAGGUAAUGGCUCACCAAGGCGACGAUCCCUAGCUGGUUUGAGAGGAUGAUCAGCCACACUGGAAGUGAGACACGGUCCAGACUCCUACGGGAGGCAGCAGUGGGGAAUAUUGGACAAUGGGCGCAAGCCUGAUCCAGCACGUGCCGCGUGUGUGAAGAAGGCCUUCGGGUUGUAAAGCAAAAGGAGUAGGGAGGAAGAGUUGAGUGUUAAUAGUACUCAGCUUUGAC